Molecule: ribosomal RNA, 820 nt
Filed under: uncultured eukaryote
Lineage: Eukaryota
Description: SSU rRNA
Rfam family: Eukaryotic small subunit ribosomal RNA
Source: RNAcentral
CGGUGUUUAACUGGCGUGAUGUGGGACGUCCUACCGGUGGGCUUAGCCUCGCGAGGGGCGGCCCAACUAAUAUCCCGUCGCGGUGCUCUUUACUGAGUGUCGAGUCGGGCCGGUACGUUUACUUUGAACAAAUUAGAGUGCUUAAAGCAGGCUAUCCUCGCCUGAAUACUGCGUGCAUGGAAUAAUGGAAUAGGACCUCGGUUCUAUUUUGUUGGUUUUCGGAACCCCGAGGUAAUGAUUAAUAGGGACAGAUGGGGGCAUUCGUAUUGCGACGUUAGAGGUGAAAUUCUUGGAUCGUCGCAAGACGGACAGAAGCGAAAGCAUUUGCCAAAAAUGUUUUCGUUAAUCAAGAACGAAAGUUAGAGGUUCGAAGGCGAUCAGAUACCGCCCUAGUUCUAACCAUAAACGAUGCCAGCUAGCGAUCCGCCGAAGUUCCUCCGAUGACUCGGCGGGCAGCUUCCGGGAAACCAAAGCUUUUGGGUUCCGGGGGAAGUAUGGUUGCAAAGCUGAAACUUAAAGGAAUUGACGGAAGGGCACCACCAGGAGUGGAGCCUGCGGCUUAAUUUGACUCAACACGGGAAACCUCACCAGGCCCAGACACCGGAAGGAUUGACAGAUUGAUAGCUCUUUCUUGAUUCGGUGGGUGGUGGUGCAUGGCCCGUUCUUAGUUGGUGGAGCGAUUUGUCUGGUUAAUUCCGAUAACGAACGAGACUCUAGCCUGCUAAAUAGGCGUACCUUAUGGUAUCGCGAAGGCCCCCGGCUUCGGCCGGUGGGUUUUUACUACCAACGUACAAACAAAUCUUCUUAGAGGGACAGGCGG